Molecule: ribosomal RNA, 924 nt
Filed under: Thermococcus sp. 83-5-2
Lineage: Archaea; Methanobacteriati; Methanobacteriota; Thermococci; Thermococcales; Thermococcaceae
Description: bacterial SSU rRNA
Rfam family: Archaeal small subunit ribosomal RNA
Source: RNAcentral
CUGCCGGAGGCCACUGCUAUGGGGGUCCGACUAAGCCAUGCGAGUCAUGGGGCGCGCUCUGCGCGCACCGGCGGACGGCUCAGUAACACGUCGGUAACCUACCCUCGGGAGGGGGAUAACCCCGGGAAACUGGGGCUAAUCCCCCAUAGGCCUGAGGUACUGGAAGGUCCUCAGGCCGAAAGGGGCAUCUGCCCGCCCGAGGAUGGGCCGGCGGCCGAUUAGGUAGUUGGUGGGGUAACGGCCCACCAAGCCGAAGAUCGGUACGGGCCAUGAGAGUGGGAGCCCGGAGAUGGACACUGAGACACGGGUCCAGGCCCUACGGGGCGCAGCAGGCGCGAAACCUCCGCAAUGCGGGCAACCGCGACGGGGGGACCCCCAGUGCCGUGGCAUAGCCACGGCUUUUCCGGAGUGUAAAAAGCUCCGGGAAUAAGGGCUGGGCAAGGCCGGUGGCAGCCGCCGCGGUAAUACCGGCGGCCCGAGUGGUGGCCGCUAUUAUUGGGCCUAAAGCGUCCGUAGCCGGGCCCGUAAGUCCCUGGCGAAAUCCCACGGCUCAACCGUGGGGCUUGCUGGGGAUACUGCGGGCCUUGGGACCGGGAGAGGCCGGGGGUACCCCUGGGGUAGGGGUGAAAUCCUAUAAUCCCAGGGGGACCGCCAGUGGCGAAGGCGCCCGGCUGGAACGGGUCCGACGGUGAGGGACGAAGGCCAGGGGAGCGAACCGGAUUAGAUACCCGGGUAGUCCUGGCUGUAAAGGAUGCGGGCUAGGUGUCGGGCGAGCUUCGAGCUCGCCCGGUGCCGGAGGGAAGCCGUUAAGCCCGCCGCCUGGGGAGUACGGCCGCAAGGCUGAAACUUAAAGGAAUUGGCGGGGGAGCACUACAAGGGGUGGAGCGUGCGGUUUAAUUGGAUUCAACGCCGGGAACCUCACCG